UACGUAGGCGGAAAAUUAAGUCAGUAGUGAAAUCCCGCAGCUUAACUGUGGAACUGAUAUUGAUACUGGUUUUCUUGAAUAUAGUUGAGGUAGGCGGAAUGUGUAAUGUAGCGGUGAAAUGCUUAGAUAUUACACAGAACACCGAUUGCGAAGGCAGCUUACUAAGCUAUGAUUGACGCUGAGGUACGAAAGCGUGGGGAGCGAACAGGAUUAGAUACCCUGGUAGUCC
Molecule: ribosomal RNA, 229 nt
Filed under: uncultured bacterium
Lineage: Bacteria
Description: partial 16S ribosomal RNA
Rfam family: Bacterial small subunit ribosomal RNA
Source: RNAcentral